Long non-coding RNA from Tachysurus fulvidraco (yellow catfish), 465 nucleotides. RefSeq lists it as uncharacterized. The record is from RefSeq and is a predicted model, not a curated record. The transcript is spliced from 3 exons. NCBI's taxonomy places the organism in Eukaryota, Metazoa, Chordata, Actinopteri, Siluriformes, Bagridae.
AGUUAAUAUUGCUGUUCUUGUUUGAAGAGGAAGAAACAGUUAAAACUCAAGUUUAUUCCUCUUGAGUUAGAGAGGCCAAUGAGAAGAUUCACCACUAGUGGCCACAGGCACAGAGGUGCACAGUUUCUUCUCAAGCUGUGUGCAGGUGGAGGAGAGGGAAUACCAUAGUAACACAGAGUCACUGAGCCACGAUUCGGUACUGAAAUAUAUGAACGAGCCUCUAAAUAUGACCAGCGGCGGCCAGUCCCUUCCCAACUUCUGGCAGAAUACGUCAGUGAGAAGAUGGUGUGAUAAUGACGUGGGAAGAAAUGAGCAAAGAGAGUGUCCAAAUGGCCCAGAUUCCAACCCAAUUCAUGAAAGUGUUACAGCCCUCUGGAAGUAAGGGAUUUUUUUUUUUUUUUGAAUGUCUAGUCUUGGGUUUGAGACUUGUGAAUUCUACAUUUGUUAUUAAACGAGAUAAACCAA